This 459-nucleotide ribosomal RNA is filed under the name uncultured bacterium. Its description in RNAcentral is "partial 16S ribosomal RNA". It matches the Rfam family "Bacterial small subunit ribosomal RNA", at positions 338 to 795 of the family's 1533-position model. The record is from RNAcentral.
CCUACGGGAGGCAGCAGUGAGGAAUAUUGGUCAAUGGGCGCGAGCCUGAACCAGCCAAGUAGCGUGAAGGAUGACGGUCCUAUGGAUUGUAAACCUCUUUUGUCAGGGAGCAAAGGGCGCCACGUGUGGCGUUUUGCGAGUACCUGAAGAAAAAGCAUCGGCUAACUCCGUGCCAGCAGCCGCGGUAAUACGGAGGAUGCGAGCGUUAUCCGGAUUUAUUGGGUUUAAAGGGUGCGCAGGCGGAAUGUCAAGUCAGCGGUAAAAUUUCGGGGCUCAACCCCGUCGUGCCGUUGAAACUGGCGUUCUUGAGUGAGCGAGAAGUAUGCGGAAUGCGUGGUGUAGCGGUGAAAUGCAUAGAUAUCACGCAGAACUCCGAUUGCGAAGGCAGCAUACCGGCGCUCAACUGACGCUCAUGCACGAAAGCGUGGGUAUCGAACAGGAUUAGAUACCCUUGUAGUC